GCUUCAAAUUGGAUGGCACUGCAGCUGGAGGCUUUGUUCAGAAUUGAUCCUGGGGAGCUACGAACCCAAAGUUUCACAGUAGGAAGGGGGAAAAAAGAAAAGAAAACAUUUUUCCUAAUGUAACAAUGCGAAUGCUAGAAAAUGACAAGACUGAUCGGUUUUAAACCAUUCUGAAGACUGACUGAGCGUGGAAGUUGCUCAACAAAAAAAGGAACGGGUAUAUUGACAGAGUCUUGCUCUAUUGCCCAGGCUGCAACUGGUGUGAUCUCGGCUCACUACAACCUCUGCCUCCUGGGUUCAAGCGAUUCUCCUGCCUCAAGCUCCCAAGUAGCUGGGAUUACAAGCAUGCACCACCAUGCCUGGCUAAUUUUUGUAUUUUUAGUGGAGACGGGGUUUCGCCACAUUGGCCAGGGUGGUCUUGAACUCCUGACCUCAAGUGAUCCACCUGCCUUGGCCUCCCAAAGUGCUGGGAUUAUAAGCAUGAGCCACUGCACCCAGCCUUAUACUGAACUUUCAAUGGGUUCAAUUCCACUAGGAGCAUAAAGGCCACUGCAUAUGAGUUGUGGAAAGAAGAGAUUAGAAGAAGGAAGAACUUGAGAUGAGUUCCUCCCUUCAACAUUCUGUCUCCUCCUACCUAGCAUCUUCUUUCUUUUAGUCUUUCUAGAAUGUCCAUCUGUUUUUGGCCAUUGCGGAGAGAGAAGCUGAGCUUUAAAGGAGUAGGAGCUUCAAAGGCGUAGGAGCUUCAAAAUUCUUGUUUCUUCAUGUUUGAUCACCCUUCUAAACCUGUCUUCUGUUCCUUCUGCUAUUCUUUUUUCUUAGAGCAUAGGAAAGGGGAGCUUUUAAAUUAAUACUUAAAGCAUGGAAAAAAAGAACUUGAGAAGAAAGUAAAACAAGGGAGAUGAGGCUAGUAAAGUAAGGAAAAUGAAGAGGAAGAGGAGGAAGGGUUAGCUUCUAAAUUCCAAGUCAAAUUGAUAUGGAACAGGCAAGCCGCUUGUCUUACUUAAACUUCAGAAAAGGAUCUGCUGAAACUUGAUAGAAAUGGAAAGGGAAAUCCUUGGGGUGGGGAACCUCCAAACAUUAGUAAUGAUAUUGAACAACUCAAAGUAUUGAGGAAAUCUGCAGGCUACAUGCCUGAAGAUUACCCAUGCAGAUAGACCAAAAGGAUUAGAAUUAUCUGUUGAUAUUAGUAAUAUUUAUUGACAUCUAGCUAGUAUUGGUAAUUUUAAGUUUUAGAUUAAUUUCUUUGGUAAUAGCUAUGAUAUAUUUUAUAGACAAGAAUUAUAUCUAUAGGCUUGCUAUCAUAGGCUCUUUUAAUCAGCAUUAAUUUAGUCUACUGAUUUUUAGCACAUUUGAAUCAUUCACUUAUGCUAGGUAACUCAUUGCAAAAUAAAAAGAUGAUUCCUGUAUGUAUGGCAGCUAUACAUUAAGGAGGAGUCUACCAGAAUAUGAAAAAGUCAGCUGACCUAAAUA
RNAcentral lists this long non-coding RNA (1470 nucleotides) under Homo sapiens (human). Its description in RNAcentral is "non-protein coding DLX6-AS1:14". Lineage: Eukaryota; Metazoa; Chordata; Mammalia; Primates; Hominidae. The record is from RNAcentral.